AUACGGAGGGUGCAAGCGUUAUCCGGAUUUAUUGGGUUUAAAGGGUGCGUAGGCGGUUUGAUAAGUCAGCGGUGAAAUAUUUCAGCUUAACUGGAAGGGUGCCGUUGAUACUGUCAGGCUUGAAUUUAGUUGCUGUGGGUGGAAUGUGUGGUGUAGCGGUGAAAUGCAUAGAUAUCACACAGAAUAUCGAUUGCGAAGGCAGCUCACAAAGCUAAUAUUGACGCUGAUGCACGAAAGUGUGGGGAUCAAACAGGAUUAGAUACCCUGGUAGUCCACACUGUAAACGAUGAUAACUCGCUGUCGGCGAUACACAGCCGGUGGCCAAGCGAAAGCGAUAAGUUAUCCACCUGGGGAGUACGACCGCAAGGUUGAA
RNAcentral lists this ribosomal RNA (373 nucleotides) under uncultured bacterium. RNAcentral describes it as "bacterial SSU rRNA". It matches the Rfam family "Bacterial small subunit ribosomal RNA", at positions 523 to 898 of the family's 1533-position model. The record is from RNAcentral.